RNAcentral lists this ribosomal RNA (779 nucleotides) under uncultured bacterium. Its description in RNAcentral is "bacterial SSU rRNA". It matches the Rfam family "Bacterial small subunit ribosomal RNA", at positions 8 to 796 of the family's 1533-position model. The record is from RNAcentral.
AGAGUUUGAUCAUGGCUCAGGACGAACGCUGGCGGCGUGCCUAACACAUGCAAGUCGAACGAGGUCCAUCCGGUGGCAACACCGGGGAAGACCUAGUGGCGAACGGGUGAGUAACACGUGAGAAACCUGCCCCGAAGACCGGGAUAACCCUCCGAAAGGAGAGCUAAUACCGGAUACCCCCACCGGAUCGCAUGAUCUGGUGAGGAAAUGGAUUCCGCUUCGGGAGGGUCUCGCGGCCUAUCAGCUUGUUGGUGGGGUAAUGGCCCACCAAGGCUUCGACGGGUAGCUGGUCUGAGAGGACGAUCAGCCACACUGGGACUGAGACACGGCCCAGACUCCUACGGGAGGCAGCAGUGGGGAAUCUUGCGCAAUGGGCGAAAGCCUGACGCAGCAACGCCGCGUGGGGGAUGAAGGCUCUCGGGUUGUAAACCCCUUUCAGCAGGGACGAAACUGACGGUACCUGCAGAAGAAGCCCCGGCCAACUACGUGCCAGCAGCCGCGGUAACACGUAGGGGGCAAGCGUUGUCCGGAUUUAUUGGGCGUAAAGAGCUCGUAGGCGGCUUAGUAAGUCGGGUGUGAAACCUCCAGGCUCAACCUGGAGACGCCACCCGAUACUGCUGUGGCUUGAGUCCGGUAGGGGAGCGUGGAAUUCCUGGUGUAGCGGUGAAAUGCGCAGAUAUCAGGAGGAACACCAGCGGCGAAGGCGGCGCUCUGGGCCGGAACUGACGCUGAGGAGCGAAAGCGUGGGUAGCAAACAGGAUUAGAUACCCUAGUAGUCC